Triticum dicoccoides is the source of this 1009-nucleotide long non-coding RNA. RefSeq lists it as uncharacterized. NCBI's taxonomy places the organism in Eukaryota, Viridiplantae, Streptophyta, Magnoliopsida, Poales, Poaceae. The transcript is spliced from 5 exons. The record is from RefSeq and is a predicted model, not a curated record.
CUCUCCUCCCAUACGAUCCCCACCAGGCACCUCAUACACAUCCGCCAUUUCUUCCAAUUUGCCGCCGGCGAAGGACGAUGUCGAUGUGCCCCAUUAGGAAACUAAUCCUCAUGCUAUCCCAGAUCCGCAUGUCGCUUCUUUUCUUCUGAUUUUUCUUCCUUGGUGGUGGCACAUGUGGCUGGGUGAGCGUGUGGAUCUCGGCGAACUCGUCGACCCUGGCAACGCGGUCACGGAGAUGUCCAGUGAGAACGCGGGUUGUGCUACUCAAAGUUGUCGUAGCCAGAGUUUCUGGAUGUUGGAGCUGCGAAGGCAUUGAUGGAGUUCGUGGAUGAAGAAAUAUAUGCAAGACGUGAGUAUCUUCUGCGAGUCGAUGUUAGUUGUUGCCCUCCUGCUGUCCAGACUUCUACCAAAUCACGAAGGGCCACUUCAAGUCGCUUGGUGACAUAAUGAUUUCAGGAGCAUCACCUGCAAGCCUACCUUCAGUUUUAGCUCGUGGAUUGGAAUUCCUGGGAAGGUCAUGUUGUUGAGGAACUCUGCUAGACACAUAUUCUCCAUUGUGUUGUAAUUCAUUGUUGCCUUGCAUACAGUGUCCAAGUAUAGGAGCAAAGCUGCAAUGCCAGAUGAUACUACCGAAAUCACUUUCUUUCCUUCUGAUCGUAGCUUCGUUGUAAUUGCUUUCCAUAGGGUGUCCAUAGUAGAUUCUCCCAAUAGCGAAGCCCCUUUUCCGCUCCUCAGGUUUUGGUUUCGCUUUUCCAUACAAAUUUUGAUGGUAAUUCUGCAUAGGUUAAUUCUUUUCCCGCCUCAUGUAUUUUGUUUGCCUCCAUCCACUCAGUGAACUUAGUACUCGUGGAUCCUGGCCUUCUUACUAUCUUCUCUAUGUCAGUGGAGUCCAGAAAAAUAAGUUCUUGCUCAUUUUUAAUGUGGAAUGGUAGUCUCUCGACUGGUGGAUCAUGAUGGUGUAUAUCAAACAGGAAUGUUUGCCAGCAUGCUUCAGUUGUUGAUAUGUAUC